UACUUAGUAGAGCAGUGGUUAGCGUUUCAUCCUCUGAAUUGGAGUGCUUGGGUUCAAGUCCUCCCCAAGUAA
Dryococelus australis is the source of this 72-nucleotide non-coding RNA. The record is from the annotation of a GenBank genome assembly. Lineage: Eukaryota; Metazoa; Arthropoda; Insecta; Phasmatodea; Phasmatidae.